CCUACGGGAGGCAGCAGUGAGGAAUAUUGGUCAAUGGACGAGAGUCUGAACCAGCCACGUAGCGUGAAGGAUGACUGCCCUAUGGGUUGUAAACUUCUUUUAUAUGGGAAUAAAACGUUCCACGUGUGGGAUUUUGUAUGUAUCAUAUGAAUAAGGCUCGGCUAACUCCGUGCCAGCAGCCGCGGUAAUACGGAGGAGCCGAGCGUUAUCCGGAUUUAUUGGGUUUAAAGGGAGCGUAGGUGGAUUGUUAAGUCAGUUGUGAAAGUUUGCGGCUCAACCGUAAAAUUGCAGUUGAAACUGGCAGUCUUGAGUACAGUAGAGGUGGGCGGAAUGCGUGGUGUAGCGGUGAAAUGCUUAGAUAUCACGAAGAACUCCGAUUGCGAAGGCAGUUCACUGGACUGCAACUGACACUGAGGCUCGAAAGUGUGGGUAUCAAACAGGAUUAGAUACCCCAGUAGUC
RNAcentral lists this ribosomal RNA (460 nucleotides) under uncultured bacterium. RNAcentral's name for it is "partial 16S ribosomal RNA". It matches the Rfam family "Bacterial small subunit ribosomal RNA", at positions 338 to 795 of the family's 1533-position model. The record is from RNAcentral.